Molecule: ribosomal RNA, 459 nt
Filed under: uncultured bacterium
Lineage: Bacteria
Description: partial 16S ribosomal RNA
Rfam family: Bacterial small subunit ribosomal RNA
Source: RNAcentral
CCUACGGGUGGCAGCAGUGAGGAAUAUUGGUCAAUGGUCGGGAGACUGAAGCAGCCAAGCCGCGUGAGGGAUGAAGGUACAGAGUAUCGUAAACCUCUUUUGUCAGGGAACAAAGGCGGGGACGUGUCCCCGGAUGAGUGUACCUGAAGAACAAGCAUCGGCUAACCCCGUGCCAGCAGCCGCGGUAAUACGGAGGAUGCGAGCGUUAUCCGGAUUUAUGGGGUUAAAGGGGUGCGCAGGCGUUCUGUUAAGUCAGCGGUCAAAGCCCGGGGCCAAACCCCGGCCCGCCGUUGAAACUGGCAGUCUCGAGUUGGAGAGAAGGAUGCGGAAUGCGCGGUGUAGCGGUGAAAUGCGUAGAGAUCGGGCAGAACUCCGAUUGCGAAGGCAGCAUGCCGGCUCCACACUGACGCUGAGGCACGAAAGCGUGGGUAGCGAACAGGAUUAGAUACCCCAGUAGUC